UCCUCGAUAGCUCAGCCUGGUAGAGCAGUUGCCUGUUAAGCAAUUUGUCGUUGGUUCAAAUCCGACUCGGGGAG
This 74-nucleotide transfer RNA is filed under the name Candidatus Xenolissoclinum pacificiensis L6. It matches the Rfam family "tRNA". From Rfam's summary of the family: Transfer RNA (tRNA) molecules are approximately 80 nucleotides in length. Their secondary structure includes four short double-helical elements and three loops (D, anti-codon, and T loops). Further hydrogen bonds mediate the characteristic L-shaped molecular structure. tRNAs have two regions of fundamental functional importance: the anti-codon, which is responsible for specific mRNA codon recognition, and the 3' end, to which the tRNAs corresponding amino acid is attached (by aminoacyl-tRNA synthetases). tRNAs cope with the degeneracy of the genetic code in two manners: having more than one tRNA (with a specific anti-codon) for a particular amino acid; and 'wobble' base-pairing, i.e. permitting non-standard base-pairing at the 3rd anti-codon position. Lineage: Bacteria; Pseudomonadati; Pseudomonadota; Alphaproteobacteria; Rickettsiales; Anaplasmataceae. The record is from Rfam by way of RNAcentral.